RNAcentral lists this ribosomal RNA (484 nucleotides) under uncultured bacterium. RNAcentral's name for it is "partial 16S ribosomal RNA". It matches the Rfam family "Bacterial small subunit ribosomal RNA", at positions 30 to 507 of the family's 1533-position model. The record is from RNAcentral.
AUUGAACGCUGGCGGCAGGCCUAACACAUGCAAGUCGAGCGGAUGAAGGGAGCUUGCUCCUGGAUUCCGCGGCGGACGGGUGAGUAAUGCCUAGGAAUCUGCCUGGUAGUGGGGGAUAACGUCCGGAAACGGGCGCUAAUACCGCAUACGUCCUGAGGGAGAAAGUGGGGGAUCUUCGGACCUCACGCUCUCAGAUGAGCCUAGGUCGGAUUAGCUAGUUGGUGGGGUAAAGGCCUACCAAGGCGACGAUCCGUAACUGGUCUGAGAGGAUGAUCAGUCACACUGGAACUGAGCCACGGUCCAGGCGCCUACGGGAGGCAGCAGUGGGGAAUGGUAGACAGUGGGCGAAAGCCUGGUCCAGCCAUGCCGCGUGUGUGAAGAAGGUCUUCGGAUUGUAAAGCACUUUUAGUUGUGAGGAAGGGCAGUAAGUUAAUACCUUGCUGUUUUGACGUUACCAACAGAAUAAGCACCGGCUAACUUCGUG